AUCUACCCAAGACACUGGGUGUCAGACUGAUUUAGCUGCAAGAAUGCACUUGUCCAGGCUGACGUGAAACCUUCCCUGUAGCAAAGCCAGCCAGAAUGGAGUUCACAGCCGCAGUGUGUCUGGUGACCCACGGGGACCAUGAUGAAAAUUCAUCUUCCAGAAGGUCCCAGAGCAGCGGCCACACCCCCUGAAAAGACCAAGGUGUGAGGUGUCUGCUGUUGAUUCCAGCUUCCACCUCAGUGACAGUGCAAGCUCAGUGAACUGUUCAAGCCUGGCUGAUCACCUGAUAACUCCUGUCAUCUGGUUAUGACAGCAUGAGGAUGUCCUCACACACACCUGUACUCACACACACCUGUAACCUAUCAGCUCAUCUGGCAGAAUAGAGAGAGAAGAGACACCACAUCUCCUGUUCCUGGAAAGCCUUCAGCCAUCCUUCGAUGACUGAGAACCUCCAUCAGCUCUGUCUCCUGUCUGCCCACAAUUAUUAUAAUAAAUAUUGUGUUUGACAAGUUU
This is a non-coding RNA of Nothobranchius furzeri (turquoise killifish), 513 nucleotides long. The record is from RefSeq and is a predicted model, not a curated record. NCBI's taxonomy places the organism in Eukaryota, Metazoa, Chordata, Actinopteri, Cyprinodontiformes, Nothobranchiidae.